This 468-nucleotide ribosomal RNA is filed under the name uncultured bacterium. Its description in RNAcentral is "partial 16S ribosomal RNA". It matches the Rfam family "Bacterial small subunit ribosomal RNA", at positions 28 to 507 of the family's 1533-position model. The record is from RNAcentral.
GACGAACGCUGGCGGCGUGCUUAACACAUGCAAGUCGAACGGCAAGGCCCUGCUAUUGUGGGGUGCUCGAGUGGCGAACGGGUGCGUAACACGUGAGUAACCUGCCCUAGACUUUGGGAUAACUUCACGAAACUGGGGCUACUACCGGAUAGGAGAUCCUGCAGCAUGGUGGGGGUUGGAAAGUUUCGGCGGUCGGGGAUGGAUUCGCGGCUUAUCAGCUUGUUGGUGGGGUAGUUGCUUACCAAGGCUUUGAAGGGUAGGCGGCCCGGGAGCGUGACCGGCCUCCUGGGGCCUAAGGUACGGCCCAGAGUCCUACGGUAGGCAGCAGUGGCGAGUAUUGCACAAUGGGCGCGAGCCUGAUGAGGCAACGCCGCGGUCGUGAAGACGGCUUUCUGGUUGAAAACCGCAUUCGCCUGUGACGAAGCGUGAGUGACGGUAAUGAGUGAAGAAGCACCGGCUAACUACGUG